Molecule: ribosomal RNA, 447 nt
Filed under: Streptococcus sp. oral taxon C65
Lineage: Bacteria; Bacillati; Bacillota; Bacilli; Lactobacillales; Streptococcaceae
Description: bacterial SSU rRNA
Rfam family: Bacterial small subunit ribosomal RNA
Source: RNAcentral
GACGAACGCUGGCGGCGUGCCUAAUACAUGCAAGUAGAACGCUGAAGAGAGGAGCUUGCUCUUCUUGGAUGAGUUGCGAACGGGUGAGUAACGCGUAGGUAACCUGCCUUGUAGCGGGGGAUAACUAUUGGAAACGAUAGCUAAUACCGCAUAACAAUGGAUGACACAUGUCAUUUAUUUGAAAGGGGCAAUUGCUCCACUACAAGAUGGACCUGCGUUGUAUUAGCUAGUAGGUGAGGUAACGGCUCACCUAGGCGACGAUACAUAGCCGACCUGAGAGGGUGAUCGGCCACACUGGGACUGAGACACGGCCCAGACUCCUACGGGAGGCAGCAGUAGGGAAUCUUCGGCAAUGGGGGCAACCCUGACCGAGCAACGCCCGCGUGAGUGAAAGAAAGGUUUUUCGGGAUCGUAAAAGCUCUGUUGUAAAGUCAAAGAAACGAAGUG